This 374-nucleotide ribosomal RNA is filed under the name uncultured organism. Its description in RNAcentral is "partial 16S ribosomal RNA". It matches the Rfam family "Bacterial small subunit ribosomal RNA", at positions 527 to 897 of the family's 1533-position model. The record is from RNAcentral.
GGAGGGUGCAAGCGUUAUUCGGAAUCACUGGGCGUAAAGAGCGCGUAGGCGGUUUCUAAAGUCAGAUGUGAAGCCCGGGCUCAACCCGGAAGUGCAUUUGAAACUUAGGGACUUGAGUAUGGGAGAGGGAAGUGGAAUUCCUGGUGUAGCGGUGAAAUGCGUAGAUAUCAGGAGGAACACCGGUGGCGAAGGCGACUUCCUGGACCAAUACUGACGCUGAGGCGCGAAGGCGUGGGGAGCAAACAGGAUUAGAUACCCUGGUAGUCCACGCAGUAAACGUUGAACACUAGGUGUAGCGGGUAUUGACCCCCCUGCUGUGCCCGCAGCUAACGCAUUAAGUGUUCCGCCUGGGGGAGUACGGCCCGCAAGGCUAA